RNAcentral lists this ribosomal RNA (697 nucleotides) under uncultured bacterium. RNAcentral describes it as "bacterial SSU rRNA". It matches the Rfam family "Bacterial small subunit ribosomal RNA", at positions 96 to 811 of the family's 1533-position model. The record is from RNAcentral.
UGGCGUACGGGUGAGUAACACGUGGAUAUCCUGCCCUUUAGUGGGGAAUACCGCUGGGAAACCGGCGACAAUACCGCAUAAUCCCGAGAGGGGAAAGCGGCUCUGUGAAAGCAAAGCCGCGCUGAAGGAGGGGUCCGCGGCCGAUUAGCUAGUUGGUAGGGUAAUGGCCUACCAAGGCUGUGAUCGGUAGCCGGCCUGAGGGGGCACACGGCCACACUGGCACUGAAACACGGGCCAGACUCCUACUGGAGGCACCAGUGGGGAAUCUUGCACAAUGGGGGCAACCCUGAUGCAGCGACACCACGUGAGCGAUGAAGCCCUUCUGGGUGUAAAGCUCUUUCUGCAGGGACGAUAAUGACGGUACCUGCAGAAGCAGCUGCGGCUAACUACGUGCCAGCAGCCGCGGUAAUACGUAUGCAGCAAGCGUUGUUCGGAGUUACUGGGCGUAAAGGGUGUGCAGGCGGCUCUAUAAGUAUGGUGUGAAAUCUCCCGGCUUAACCGGGAGGGUGCGCUAUACACUGUGGGGCUAGAGUGUGGGAGAUGAAAGUGGAAUUCCUGGUGUAGCGGUGAAAUGCAUAAAUAUCAGGAGGAACACCGGUGGUGUGAACGGCUUUCUGGACCAUAACUGACGCUGAGACACGACAGCGUGGGUAGCAUACACGAUUAGAUACCCUGGUAGUCCUAGCCCUAAACGAUG